Molecule: long non-coding RNA, 259 nt
Filed under: Manihot esculenta (cassava)
Lineage: Eukaryota; Viridiplantae; Streptophyta; Magnoliopsida; Malpighiales; Euphorbiaceae
Description: long non-coding RNA (MESC_LNC002812)
Source: RNAcentral
CUCCUUCUGAGCAUUCACUUCAUUCAGGCGAACUUGAAGUCCUUCAGAAUCAGCCUUUAAGGCUUCAUAUUGGCACUGAACUUCAUUCCUUUGACUUACAGCCUCAUCUCUCUCCUGAAGAGCCGCUGUCAUAGAGGACAGCUGCUUCAAAACUUCCACACAACGAACUUCCACCUCAGCUGUCCUCUCAUCAGACUCCUUGAGAACCCUGCGAGUACGAGACAACUCUGCUUCCAGGGAUUUGGUGUGCUCUGCUGCC